GGUUAGCUAGAGGAUUGCUUUCUCGCUUGGUACCAAAUACUGGAGCCCCCCGGCAGCAUCCAUUCAUGGCAUGAUAAUAACUCAAAAGUGCCGACAACAUUCGACGACAAGUGCCACUGUUGACGCACCGUCAAGCCGUGCUUGUGAAUAGACAGUCAACUGACAAGGGUACCCUCUAGGAAGUAGGACAAUAAAGCCAAGACCACCAAGGAUGGAUUAAUCCAACAGCUUCACAGGAUGCCUGUGGUGCCUUUGGACCCAAGCGAACAAAGACACAAAAGGAACCCAGUGAGAAAGCAUUGCUCUGCUGGAAGUCUGCAAUCACUACCGUGGUCAGCUUCCUUUAGAAUGACAACAUAUGAUACUGGGAUGGUGAAAAAUAAAAUAAUAAAAAAGGGAGUGUCGAUGCAGUUAGGCUUUAGAUGUUUGGAAAAUUGCAGUUUUUGAUUAUUUUAAAAUUAAAUCUUUUUCAAUGAAUUUUUGGUAUGGACUUAAAAUGAAGAUGGUUUUGAAGUGUUUGGAAACGUGGACUACUGUACAGUCCUUAACUGCCUUGGCACUACUGCCCUCAUAUGGACAUUGAAGGUACUGAUUAGAGCACCCACUUUUGGACAGGGAGAUAGACGCUGGCUGUAUUUGAAUUCGGGGUCUAUAUCCUACUAGGCCAGUAGCUUACCCGGUC
Non-coding RNA from Doryrhamphus excisus (bluestripe pipefish), 682 nucleotides. Lineage: Eukaryota; Metazoa; Chordata; Actinopteri; Syngnathiformes; Syngnathidae. The record is from RefSeq and is a predicted model, not a curated record.